AACACUUGUUCGAUUCGUCUCUAGUUCUUCUCAACAAGUUUAUGAUC
Molecule: small RNA, 47 nt
Filed under: Arabidopsis thaliana (thale cress)
Lineage: Eukaryota; Viridiplantae; Streptophyta; Magnoliopsida; Brassicales; Brassicaceae
Description: ATSL149470
Source: RNAcentral